UAGCCAUCUCUGACUUUGACUUUUAUAUCCAAACCUUUCCUCCAUGGACUCUCCGAUGCAAACCCAGCAAAAGAGAGCGAGCCAGUGGGAUUCGCUGACCGACAAAGAAAACACCACCGUCUCCCGUCAUAGUAGUUGUCUCGUCGCAGCUCUCAGCCCCCAUUCCUUCUCCCCACUCCACUCUUCUUUGUCUCUGUAUCUUUUUAACAAAACA
This 214-nucleotide long non-coding RNA is filed under the name Elaeis guineensis (African oil palm). RNAcentral's name for it is "long non-coding RNA (EGUI_LNC006549)". Lineage: Eukaryota; Viridiplantae; Streptophyta; Magnoliopsida; Arecales; Arecaceae. The record is from RNAcentral.